CGAGGAAUAUUGGUCAAUGGGCGCAAGCCUGAACCAGCCAUCCCGCGUGCAGGAAGACGGCGCUAUGCGUUGUAAACUGCUUUUCCAGGGGGAGAAACUUGCGUACGUGAUACGCAAUUGACGGUACCCUGGGAAUAAGCAUCGGCUAACUCCGUGCCAGCAGCCGCGGUAAUACGGAGGAUGCAAGCGUUAUCCGGAUUCAUUGGGUUUAAAGGGUGCGUAGGCGGACUAUUAAGUCAGUGGUGAAAUCCUGCAGCUUAACUGCAGAACUGCCAUUGAUACUGAUAGCCUAGAGUUUGGUGAAGGUAGGCGGAAUGUGUAAUGUAGCGGUGAAAUGCUUAGAUAUUACACAGAACACCAAUUGCGUAGGCAGCUUACUGAGGCGACACUGACGCUGAGGCACGAAAGCGUGGGGAUCAAA
This 421-nucleotide ribosomal RNA is filed under the name uncultured bacterium. RNAcentral's name for it is "bacterial SSU rRNA". It matches the Rfam family "Bacterial small subunit ribosomal RNA", at positions 355 to 772 of the family's 1533-position model. The record is from RNAcentral.